CAAAAAAUCACGUAUGGGAUAUGCACGUCUAGAGCAAAAACUUCAACAAGACACCCAAUCAGAUCAACCGUUGGGUCGUCAUAUCGUGUAAAUAAGGACGGAAUUGUUGAUAACGAAAAUGUUCAAAAAGUAAUAGAACUUUGUGAGAAUCUCGAAAAAAGUUCAGAAAAUCAAGAGGACAACAAAGCUAGUUGCAGGGACAUUCUCGGUAAAGUGUUUAAUGUUCCUGAAUAUUUUUGUCGCGUGAGGG
Cicer arietinum (chickpea) is the source of this 250-nucleotide non-coding RNA. NCBI's taxonomy places the organism in Eukaryota, Viridiplantae, Streptophyta, Magnoliopsida, Fabales, Fabaceae. The record is from RefSeq and is a predicted model, not a curated record.